This is a long non-coding RNA of Cyprinus carpio (common carp), 652 nucleotides long. RefSeq lists it as uncharacterized. NCBI's taxonomy places the organism in Eukaryota, Metazoa, Chordata, Actinopteri, Cypriniformes, Cyprinidae. The record is from RefSeq and is a predicted model, not a curated record.
AACCCCGCCCUAUUCGAAACGGACCAAUCGGAGCGCACGUUUAGGGCAACGUCGCAACAUGGUGUCCCUCUCUGUACAGCAAGUUUCAGAGAAGUUCAGCUGCGAGACUGAUGUGUUUACAGAGACGGAGAUUAGUUUAUCAUUUCCUGGAGUCACUUGAAUACAAGUACGGGACAGAUGUCACCGAUUGAGCCGGCCCCCCUCCCACUGCCCCGCCUCUUCCCCUCCCUAUCAAAGGCCUGGGACUGCUGGAGUACACAUCAAUCAUUCUGAGUGACAGGUAGGAGUGUGUGUGACAUUGUGGGAACAUGUAUAGUGUGUGUUCAAACACAAGAAUUCCUCUGUCCAGAUAAAGGCACUUUAUCUGCUGCUGUCUGCCUGGUCAGACAUUAUUUACUACUGCCCAUCCCCGCACACACUCCUUCUUUUAAAGAGGACAAAAUUGAGCUUCUCUCUCCUUCAUUCUUUUUUAAAGUACCAUCCUUUUCUCUUUUUUCCUUACCUGUGUAUCUUGUAUUUUAGAUCUACAUUAAAAUGCACAUUUUCUUGACAAAUGCUUUCUUGUCAAAAGACCAUGCUUUGUUUUGAAUUCAAAUUUACCUUAUGAAAUUAAUCAUACAUGAACAAUUUGUAUUUGUAAUUUUAUGACGUU